GUCAGCUCUUAAGGGAUCAAUUGAUGGAAAAUGUAACAGAUGUAUUAUAUUGAAAUAAAAUAGUACUUGAGGAAUAAAAAUGAAAUGUUUUAAAGAUAUUAUAAGGAAUUGAAAUUGAUCUCAAACCUGAAGUGGUAAAGUGUAAUUUACCCUUUAAAGUAUGUUAUCAGCAAGCCACGUAAUUUAAGUACACAGAGAAUUGUAAGUUUGUGAGUGACAAGGAGAAUGAUUUUUUGUUCUUGACAAACUUGUUAUUCAGUUUAUGAGUUAUCACGUUGAGAAAAUCACGUUUUUAUUUGGCUAAGAUUAGGAGCCCUAAUAACAUGCAAUUAUAUUCACCCUAAUAACAUGCAAUUAUAUUCAAGUAACCUUAUCAUGUUUUGACAAGAGUUCAAUACCAAGUAGGAUUAUAUCGAAACCCUAAUUAAUAUGGAAUAUCCUGAGCAUCAGUUAAUAGGACUGAUAUCAAGGAUGUUUUGACAAGAGUGUAGAACUCUUUCUCAUUUCCUACAGCAAUGGCAAGUUCUUCAGGUAAGCAUACUUCCUUUACGUAUGCAUGUUGUAAUAUACAUGUGGUUCUAUGCCUGCAGUGUCUCUAAUGGUUUACAAGAAUUAGAUGAAAAGGCUUGAAAUCUCAAAAGAUGAAAUUGAUUGUUUUUAAUGAGUUUAUGCACUUACUUUCCGAAAAUUCAAUACAUAAAUUUAAUUUUCACUCGAGUAAUAAUUUAAGAACUUAUUCGUCAGUUCACUCCUAAUAAAUCCAAUGUAUACAUUCUGCUUACGAAUUAAGAAAACAAAAUCCAAUAUACAUAAUCAAACCCUAUAUAAAAAAAGGACAGAACAUCCUCUC
RNAcentral lists this long non-coding RNA (850 nucleotides) under Malus domestica (apple). RNAcentral's name for it is "long non-coding RNA (MDOM_LNC013644)". Lineage: Eukaryota; Viridiplantae; Streptophyta; Magnoliopsida; Rosales; Rosaceae. The record is from RNAcentral.